UCAAGCUACAAAGGGCAUAUGGUGAAUGCCUUGGCACCAGUAGCCGAUGAAGGACGCGAUAAGCUGCGAUAAGCUUCGGGUAGGCGCAAAUAGCCUGUGAUCCGGAGAUUUCCGAAUGGGGAAACCUGCAUACCUAACGGUAUGUACCGUAAAUUGAAUACAUAGAUUUACGGGGGUAUACCCGGGGAACUGAAACAUCUAAGUACCCGGAGGAAGAGAAAGAAAAAUCGAUUUUCUUAGUAGCGGCGAGCGAAAAGGAAAGAGCCCAAACCAGAAAUUUAUUUCUGGGGUUGUGGAUUGACCAUCAGUGAAGACAGAUUUGUUAUCGAAGAGAGCUGGAACGCUCUACCACAGAAGGUAAUAGUCCUGUAGGUAAAAAAUUAUGUCUUUUAGGUCUAAUCCAAAGUACCACGAGACACGAGAAACCUUGUGGGAAUUCGGGGGGACCACCCCCCAAGGCUAAAUACUACUUAGUGACCGAUAGCGCAUAGUACUGUGAAGGAAAGGUGAAAAGGACCCCGGGAGGGGAGUGAAAGAGAACCUGAAACCCUGUGUUUACAAGCUGUGGAACCACGUUAAAGGUGGAACCGCGUACUUUUUGUAGAACGGUCCGGCGAGUUACCGUUACUGGCAAGGUUAAGCACUUAAGGUGCGGAGCCGAAGGGAAACCAAGUCUUAAUAGGGCGUUAAGUCAGUAAAGGUAGACCCGAAACCGGGUGAUCUACCCAUGGGCAGGUUGAAGCGGAAGUAAAAUUCCGUGGAGGACCGAACCACGUUGGUGUUGAAAAACCAUGGGAUGACCUGUGGAUAGCGGAGAAAUUCCAAUCGAACUCGGAGAUAGCUGGUUCUCCUCGAAAUAGCUUUAGGGCUAGCGUCUGGUUAUUGAGUAAUGGAGGUAGAGCACUGAAUGGGCUAGGGGCUGACAACAGUUACUGAACCCUAUCAAACUCCGAAUGCCAUAUACUUUUAUCCAGGCAGUCAGACUGCGAGUGAUAAGAUCCGUAGUCGAGAGGGAAACAACCCAGACCAUCAGCUAAGGUCCCAAAGUGUAAGUUAAGUGGAAAAGGAUGUGGGAUUUCUAAGACAACUAGGAUGUUGGCUUAGAAGCAGCCACUCAUUUAAAGAGUGCGUAAUAGCUCACUAGUCAAGAGAUCCUGCGCCGAAGAUGUCCGGGGCUCAAACUUACCACCGAAGCUAUGGAUUCAAUAGAAUGGUAGAGGAGCUUCCUGUAUGGGUAGAAGUCGUAUCGUAAGAAGCGGUGGACUGUACAGGAGUGAGUAUGCUGGCAUGAGUAGCGAGAAAUAAGUGAGAAUCUUAUUGGUCGAAAACCUAAGGUUUCCUGAGGAAGGUUCGUCCGCUCAGGGUUAGUCGGGACCUAAGCCCAGGCCGAAAGGCGUAGGUGAUGGACAAUCGGUUGAUAUUCCGAUACCGCCAACUUUCGUUUGACAAAUGGGGUGACACAGAAGGAUAAGGUAUGCACACUAUUGGAUGUGUGUCUAAGCACUUAGGCGUGCUUGAUUGGCAAAUCCGUCAAGCUAAGCUGAGGUGUUAUGGGGAGCCUAUUUUGGCGAAGUGCCUGAUUCCACACUGUCAAGAAAAGCCUCUAUGGAGAAUGUUGGUGCCCGUACCGCAAACCGACACAGGUAGGUGAGGAGAGAAUCCUAAGGCCGGCGGGAGAAGCAUUGUUAAGGAACUCGGCAAAUUGACCCCGUAACUUCGGGAGAAGGGGUGCCUGGGAAACCAGGCCGCAGAGAAUAGGCUCAAGCAACUGUUUAGCAAAAACACAGGUCUAUGCAAAACCGAAAGGUGAGGUAUAUGGGCUGACGCCUGCCCGGUGCUGGAAGGUUAAAGGGAUGCGUUAGCGGUAACGCGAAGCGGUGAACUUAAGCCCCAGUGAACGGCGGCCGUAACUAUAACGGUCCUAAGGUAGCGAAAUUCCUUGUCGGGUAAGUUCCGACCCGCACGAAUGGCGUAAUGACUUGGGCACUGUCUCAACAGCAAAUCCGGCGAAAUUGUAGUGCAAGUGAAGAUGCUUGCUACCCGCGAUAGGACGGAAAGACCCCGUAGAGCUUUACUGUAGCUUAACAUUGAAUUUCGGUAUUGUCUGUACAGGAUAGGUGGGAGACUUAGAAGCAGGGGCGUCAGUUUCUGUGGAGUCAUCCUUGGGAUACCACCCUGAUAGUACUGAAAUUCUAACCGGAGACCAUGAAUCUGGUCACGGGACAUUGUUAGGUGGGCAGUUUGACUGGGGCGGUCGCCUCCUAAAAAGUAACGGAGGCGCCCAAAGGUUCCCUCAGCGCGGUCGGAAAUCGCGCGUAGAGUGUAAAGGCAUAAGGGAGCCUGACUGCGACACAUACAGGUGGAGCAGGGACGAAAGUCGGGCUUAGUGAUCCGGUGGUUCCUCGUGGGAGGGCCAUCGCUCAACGGAUAAAAGCUACCUCGGGGAUAACAGGCUGAUCUCCCCCAAGAGUCCACAUCGACGGGGAGGUUUGGCACCUCGAUGUCGGCUCAUCGCAUCCUGGGGCUGUAGUAGGUCCCAAGGGUUGGGCUGUUCGCCCAUUAAAGCGGUACGCGAGCUGGGUUCAGAACGUCGUGAGACAGUUCGGUCCCUAUCCGGCGUGGGCGUAGGAUAUUUGAGAGGAGCUGUCCUUAGUACGAGAGGACCGGGAUGGACUGACCUCUGGUGUAUCUGUUGGCUAUCAAAGCCAUGGCAGAGUAGCCAAGUCGGGAAGGGAUAAACGCUGAAGGCAUCUAAGCGUGAAGCCCCCCUCAAGAUGAGAUAUCCCAUCGCAAGAGUAAGACCCCUUGAAGACGACGAGGUAGAUAGGGCAGAGGUGGAAGUGCAGCAAUGUGUUUAGCUGACUGAUACUAAUAGGUCGAGGGCUUGAUCAA
RNAcentral lists this ribosomal RNA (2892 nucleotides) under Clostridium tetani 12124569. Its description in RNAcentral is "bacterial LSU rRNA". It matches the Rfam family "Bacterial large subunit ribosomal RNA". Lineage: Bacteria; Bacillati; Bacillota; Clostridia; Eubacteriales; Clostridiaceae. The record is from RNAcentral.